Molecule: ribosomal RNA, 253 nt
Filed under: uncultured bacterium
Lineage: Bacteria
Description: partial 16S ribosomal RNA
Rfam family: Bacterial small subunit ribosomal RNA
Source: RNAcentral
UACAUGGGGUGCAAACGUUGCUCGGAAUUAUUGGGCGUAAAGCGCACGUAGGCGGUUCGUUAAGUCGGAUGUGAAAGCCCUCGGCUCAACUGAGGAAGUGCACCCGAAACUGGCGAGCUUGAGUACGAAAGAGGAUCGCGGAAUUCCCGGUGUAGAGGUGAAAUUCGUAGAUAUUCGCAAGAACACCGGUGGCGAAGGCGGUUCUCUGGGCAUGUCCUGACGCUGAGGAGCGAAAGUGUGGGGAGCGAACAGG